This 429-nucleotide unclassified non-coding RNA is filed under the name Hevea brasiliensis (rubber tree). The record is from RNAcentral. Lineage: Eukaryota; Viridiplantae; Streptophyta; Magnoliopsida; Malpighiales; Euphorbiaceae.
GCCUUUUUCACUAUUAUCGACAGUCUAAAUGCUAUAAAACUCAAAACAGCUCCUACAUUAUUUAUACGGCCAAGUUUAAAAGUGAUAACUCAAUCCCUCUCCAUUCUAUAUAUUUAUUAAAUUAGAUUUAUUGCAUUAACGAUUCUUCUACUGAUUCAUAAAGAUUAAUUCUGAUUCUCUCAAAAAAAUUUUAAACAAAAACCAAAAUUUUAAUUAAUCUAAUUUUCAGGUAAAUCAACUGAAUAUGUUAAAAUGAAUUCAGAUUUGAUAAUUAUGUUUGGGCUUAUAUUUAGUUUUUAUUUAGUAAUAUAGCUUAUAAAUUCAAACACUGAUUUAUAAUUUCCUUUAGGUUAAUAAAAUGAAUUCAUUUUAGAUUGACUCACUUAAUGCAUUAGAAUCACCAAUUUUAUUUUAGAGUUUAAAUUUUUU